CUCCUACGGGGGGCAGCAGUGGGGAAUAUUGGGCAAUGGGCGCAAGCCUGACCCAGCAACGCCGCGUGAAGGAAGAAGGCUUUCGGGUUGUAAACUUCUUUUUUGGGGGACGAACAAAUGACGGUGCCCCAGGAAUAAGCCACGGCUAACUACGUGCCAGCAGCCGCGGUAAUACGUAGGUGGCAAGCGUUAUCCGGAUUUAUUGGGUGUAAAGGGCGUGUAGGCGGGAAAGCAAGUCAGAUGUGAAAACU
This 251-nucleotide ribosomal RNA is filed under the name uncultured bacterium. RNAcentral describes it as "partial 16S ribosomal RNA". It matches the Rfam family "Bacterial small subunit ribosomal RNA", at positions 336 to 602 of the family's 1533-position model. The record is from RNAcentral.